RNAcentral lists this ribosomal RNA (515 nucleotides) under Anopheles sinensis. RNAcentral's name for it is "partial 16S ribosomal RNA". It matches the Rfam family "Bacterial large subunit ribosomal RNA", at positions 1829 to 2606 of the family's 2925-position model. The record is from RNAcentral. Lineage: Eukaryota; Metazoa; Arthropoda; Insecta; Diptera; Culicidae.
GUCUGUGUGUAUAAGUUAUAAAGUCUAGCCUGCCCACUGAUUGAUUUAAAGGGCCGCGGUAAUUUGACCGUGCGAAGGUAGCAUAGUCAGUAGUCUUUUAAUUGAAGGCUUGAAUGAAAGGUUGGACGAGGGAUGAGCUGUCUCCUUUACGUAAUUUGAAUUUAACUUUUGAGUGAAAAGGCUCAAAUUAUUUAGUGGGACGAUAAGACCCUAUAAAACUUUAUAUAAGUUUAAUUUGGCUUACAAUUUGAGUAAAAAGUAGCUUUAUUAGGCUUAUAUUUCGUUGGGGAGAUGUAGAUAUAAUGUGUAACUGUCUGUUUAAUUUAAUAAUUAUAAUUAGUGUGUGAUCCUUCUUUGUGGAUUAAAAGUAUAAGUUACUUUAGGGAUAACAGCGUGAUUUUCUUUGAGAGUUCUUAUCGACAAGAGUAGUUGCGACCUCGAUGUUGAAUUAAAAUUUCAGUUAGGUGUAGCCGUCUAGCUGGUAGGUCUGUUCGACCUUUAAAUUUACAUGAUCU